GUUUGUGAAAUAAAAGGCUGCCAUCUGUUUUUUUGUAUGUUUGUCUGCAGAGAGGACAUUGAACUGUCAGCAGUGUCCCUCCUACUAAUCAAGACUCUUAGAUAUCCUGACAACACAAAUCUUUAAUUCUUAUACAGUCCUUUCACUCGUAUUUACAUUAGUAGGUCAACUGUGGUCAAAGUGCAACAAUAAAUAUUCGCCUUUUGAUGUAGAUGUGGGUUCUGUCAGUUGUUUUAUUCACGCCACAAGCUGUAAUCCAAUUUUAAAAUUUAAUUUUAGAUGAAAAAUCUGAUUAUAACGUUGACAGAAAAAUAAGUUUUUAAAAAAUAAUUCUCUCUUUCUUCCUUUCUCUCUCUCGGCCACGGACGCUAUUACUGUAAAACAUCCAGAAAUAUUUCACUCCAGCUCAAGUUUAAAAACCGGAGCAGUGGGAAACUGUGAGGGGGAGGGAAAAAAAAGAGAAACAACAAAAAACUCACAAGUCUUAUCCUUUGAAUCUCAAAGAAAACUUUCUCACAUGACUUCCCAAAGUUAGUCCACCGCGUUGAAAGCAGCGAAAGAUUUAAAAAGAAAUGAUCUAAAGGCUUCCUUGUGUCGUACUUGGAAAGCUUUUAACUGAAAAGACUCAAACAGACUUACGUAUGAGGCUGUCACAUUUUACUCAUCUCAAAACUCCAAAUUCAAGCUGAAAAUAUUUAUGUAGUCACUCUUUCUAAAACUAAAGUUGUUUGAUGUGCGUGACUUUAUUAUAUUUACAACAUAAUUCUCUGCAUUGUGGAAAUUGCUAACUGUGUCAAGCUCAGAGAACUCGUUACGUAAGGUUAGCGUGUAGGUUUGACUUCAGGAAACUUGUGCUACAGGGGCGCAUUUGCUCUUCUCACCACAUACCUAACAUAUUUUAGAUAGUUGUAACACUUAGAUGCAAAAACAGGUCGAACAAAAGGUUAAACGCUGAGCGUUAGCAUCAAACGUGAUGUUUUCAUGCUGCAGCAGCAUCAGCUCCAUCUUCCUUCUCCCUCUGUUAGCUUAGCAACAGCAGCCAUUUUGUCUGCAUUUACAUUGUUCGAGACAUCUUUCUGAGGUUGCGCGCAUUUCUUUGAAUGGGACCACCAAUUUAAUUUAAACUUCUGCUGGAACAAGAGCUUUUAUUUUGAAGGAAUUAAGGUAAACUGCAGUGAUGCUUUUAUUUUCUGUUCAGAAGGUGCCAAAUGGUGUUUAGCAUUAACCACAUGACUGUCGCACAAAGGCACAUACGUACAAUACAUCCAUGUGCAUUCGCAUUGAGUGUGCGCACAUGCACGGAUGCGUGCACUUUCACACACAAACACACACGUAUGAAUGAGAUGAGUUUUUCCCUUUCUUAGAGGCUACUUCAACCACCCGCAGCUCCCUCCAUCAGCAGACAACCGAGCACAGGAUGUAUAAGCCCAGCUGUCCAGAGGUCACCUCAGCUUGUGUAUUUCCCUGGAGUGGAUUCACAGAAGCAGAGUGGACCAACAACAUGCAUUCAGCUUUCAGUUUUGACUGGACCUUCAGUCAAGCUUUAGGGGCUGUUCUGAUAUAUUUGAGGAGUCGUUCUCUCUGUUCAUUGUGGGUUUGUUCGAAGACCUGCUUUCUAUCUGCCACCACUGUACCAAAGUUUGGCUGUUGAGCCUCUUUUCAAAUGUUUGGCCUCUUGACAUGUGUUCCCCCCCCAUCCAUGUUUGAGGAACUGCUUUCUCUCUGCUUCCACUGUACCAGAGGUUGGCUUUUGAACGAUCAAAACAGUGCAGGUUCUGUGCCCGCUGGACUCCAGAUGUAAGCUUGGAUGCAGCCUUCCUCUAACCCACAGGAGAAGCAGCAAACAACAGCCGCGCAACAACCUCACUUAAUUACAGUCGGAGCUAUAUCUAAAAAAUCCUGAUGAGGAAACACAAAGGCUUAAGUCCACAGAGUAGAUUUGAUUACUCGUUCUUGUCCCUACCUUUUCUGUGUUUGCGAAAGAAAAGGAACAAAGGAGGAACCCUACUGAUCGAGAACCAGCAGAACAGUGAAACAACAGGACACAACUGAUCGCUCAUGCAUGGCUGGGAUUAGGAUAAAAGUAGAAAGAGCACAGAGAAGAAAGCAAACAACAAAAGGAACAGGGGACUGACAAACUUUUUUUCUUUUUCUUUUGUGGUGAAAAGGAUGGAAUGAAAGGUCUGGCCAUAUGAAAAGAUAGAGAGGGAAUGAUUACCAAACAGAGGCGGUCCUUUUCAGCCUCUGUACGCCUCCACGCUCACUCUUUUUAACCAGCUACAUGAAAGAUAAGGCUUGAGUCUCUGGUGACCAAUCUGACACAAACACAGCAGAUAAAAAUGAAUUGUUCAUCAAGAUAUUAGUAUUAAUUCAUUCCAUGUUUGUUUUAAGACCAACUCCAUGCUGUGCCAACCUUUUUCCAUGUGAACUUCUAAGAGCACAAAACUGGAACAUUGAGAUUGCCAUUGACCAACUGGCUUGUGAAAGUUGUUCAUUACACACCGACUAACAAGACAGCAGUCUUUUCAGCCCCUGCCUCCGCUAAGUGGAGAUCAUCCAACAAUACUUUGAGUGUCUCCCCUGCCUUUGGACUCAGUUCAAAUUAUAUUCUGUUCCUUAUUUAUCUCCCUCAACAAAAAUAGGAGGGGAAGGCAAGUGAUUAGAAUCCCCGUCUUUGACUUCUUUUCAUUGAAGGGGGCAUUUGUGAAUGUGAGGAGGUGAUUGGCUACGCCUCUAUUUCAGCUGGCUCGUUUUAAGUGGUGCACCACUAGUCCUCUCUUAACUUGUCUGGAGGUGAAUGAGGUCACGGUGAGGGUAGGAAACGAGUCACAGGCUUUCUUUAUAUUAUGAUUAUGCAGAUAAUGUGCACGUUAUGGGCCUAACUCACAGUAAAACUAAGAAUAUAUCCAAACACAUCUAAAAGCAACAUAAUUUAAACAUUAUUUAACUAGUUGGCCUGCAUUGCACACCUUCUAGCUAUGUUUUAGAUUAUUAACCUAUCAUUUAUCCUGUUUCAUUCUGCUGUUUGACCUAUAUAUUUUGCUUUUAUUUGUUUUUAUGUAUGUCUUUUCUUGUGGGGGUUGUUGAUGUUUUAGUUUUGUUUUUUUAUGUGAGUACAGCACUUUGGUUUGUCUCCUGGUCAAUGGAAGGUGCUUUAGAAACAAAGAUGAUGAUGAUGACGAUGAUGAUGAUGAUGACGAUGAUGAUGAUGA
Long non-coding RNA from Nothobranchius furzeri (turquoise killifish), 3212 nucleotides. RefSeq lists it as uncharacterized. Lineage: Eukaryota; Metazoa; Chordata; Actinopteri; Cyprinodontiformes; Nothobranchiidae. The record is from RefSeq and is a predicted model, not a curated record.